AAAAAAAAAAACAAACAUUUCGAUCAUGGAUUACAAAAAAAAAACAAACAUUUCGAUCAUGUACUACAAAACAUUCGAUCAUGGAUUACAAAAAAUUCUAUCAUGGGUUACAAAAAAAAAAAACAAAACAAAAAAAUCGAUCAUGGAUUACAAGAAAAGAAAACAAACAUUUCGAUCAUGGAUUACAAAAAAUUCUAUUAUGGGUUACAAAAA
This 213-nucleotide long non-coding RNA is filed under the name Amborella trichopoda. RNAcentral's name for it is "long non-coding RNA (ATRI_LNC005099)". Lineage: Eukaryota; Viridiplantae; Streptophyta; Magnoliopsida; Amborellales; Amborellaceae. The record is from RNAcentral.